CAGAUCAACAUCAAAUUAAAAUCAGAGAUGCCCGUACAAAUAGAUGGUGAACCUUGGAUGCAGCCUCCUGGUAAUGUGAUUGUACGGCCCAUACUAACACAGGCGCUGAUGCUAUCGAAGAGGAAGGUUAAAGUAAAAAACAAAAGAAGACCCACAAGUUCGUCUCGCCCUCCUGCAAGCCCCAGCGCAACAAGAACUAUUUUUUAUGAUGAUUAAACACUUACCCCGGGCUUAUGGCAGCUUAAUUAGAAACCAUACUGGAUAUUUUUUCCAGCUCUGAUUUAUACUUAACUUGGUAAUCUUGUAAAGUUUCAUCUAGUUAAGUAUUGCUUUAGCCGAGAAAAUGUAAUUCGAAAUUGUAAAGGAAAUUACUGUCAUUUGUAUCGCUUUGGGUAUACGCUGUAUUGUAAACAGUGCAGACUAAAAUUCCAUCUUUAUAGUGCGUUAAAUUGAACCAAUUGUGAAACUCUACCAGCACGAAAUGCAUGCUGGUUGAGAAAUCACACGAACAUCACGUGCUCGUCAUAUAGGCUGAAACAAGGAGAGCGGCUCAGUCCUCACCAUUCGAACCUCUUCAGUGUACAUUACCAUUCGUGCUAUUGGAGUCAAUUUCUAUCACCGGCCAUGAUUUGUUUAUCGAAGUGGUAUAUAAUGAUUCUGAACUAGUCUCGGCCACAUUCUGUCUUUCCCCGUUCCGCCCGUAAAUGCGCAAAGGCGUUGUAGUAGACGCUACGCGCUAACGAACCAAACUCGUAACCUGGUAUUCCAUAGUCGUAUGUAGGAAAAAAAGGGUGGCGCGAGA
Molecule: non-coding RNA, 802 nt
Organism: Pocillopora verrucosa
Lineage: Eukaryota; Metazoa; Cnidaria; Anthozoa; Scleractinia; Pocilloporidae
Source: RefSeq, a predicted model, not a curated record